GGGGAGAAGAGGAGCAGAGGCACUCGGCUAAGAGCAGAAGAUGGACACCGCGAUGGGAUUUUUAUUCAGGGUGGCCGAGCGGAUGGGAACGAGGCAACGGCGGUGAGAAAAAUCUUGAGCUGAGCGGCGGCGGGGAUAAGGGAAGAAGACGGCUGGAAGGAUAGAGCCGCGAGAUUUUUCUUCCUGGGCACAUGAGAAUAGCAGAGGGAGGAGCUCCGGCGAGGUUGGCUGGAACGACGACUUGGAGCGGCGGUCGGGCGUCUGCAAGCUCUGAGCGCAGAACUGUAGGGGAUAGAAAAUAUGUGCGAUGCGGAGAGGUGGCCGGAUAAUGGAGUCCGUCGAGAAGAGAAUGGAUAUGGCCAGCGACGACGACGACAAGCUAGUAGCGCCACUUGAUUUUGACGGACGGGAGUGGCCGAACCGCUGUUUCGUCCACACGGCACCAGAUAAUGGAGUCCCGC
RNAcentral lists this long non-coding RNA (461 nucleotides) under Zea mays. Its description in RNAcentral is "drought responsive lncRNA". The record is from RNAcentral. Lineage: Eukaryota; Viridiplantae; Streptophyta; Magnoliopsida; Poales; Poaceae.